This 345-nucleotide ribosomal RNA is filed under the name uncultured bacterium. RNAcentral describes it as "bacterial SSU rRNA". It matches the Rfam family "Bacterial small subunit ribosomal RNA", at positions 32 to 369 of the family's 1533-position model. The record is from RNAcentral.
AAUCAACGCUGGCGGCGUGCCUCAGACAUGCAAGUCGAACGAUUAAAGCUCCCUUCGGGGGAGUGCAUAAAGUGGCGCACGUGUGAGUAACACGUAAGUAAUCUACCUUCGAGUGGGGAAUAACGUUCGGAAACGAACGCUAAUACCGCAUAAUGCAGCGGCAUCUAUGAUGACAGUUGUUAAAGAUUUAUCGCUUGAAGAGGAGCUUGCGGCAGAUUAGCUAGUUGGUAAGGUAAUGGCUUACCAAGGCUACGAUCUGUAUCCGGUCUAAGAGGACGGUCGGACACACUGACACUGAAUAACGGGUCAGACUCCUACGGGAGGCAGCAGUCGGGAAUUUUGGGC